Arachis duranensis is the source of this 1153-nucleotide long non-coding RNA. RefSeq lists it as uncharacterized. NCBI's taxonomy places the organism in Eukaryota, Viridiplantae, Streptophyta, Magnoliopsida, Fabales, Fabaceae. The transcript is spliced from 2 exons. The record is from RefSeq and is a predicted model, not a curated record.
UACAAUCUUACAAUCUCAUCUUAUAAUGUCUCAACAAUACUCUGAACGAAUUUGGUAAGUGCUGCUGAUCUAAAAAUUGACACCCCAAAACAGCAAUCUCUAUAAUCCUUUCGAAGAAUAGAAAAACUCCCCAAUAUUUAUUGAUUCCAUGCUUCUUAGUCUCCCCCCAUAUCCAGAUCGGUUACCAAGAAUUUUUUAAUCUUAAACAAACUUUAAUUACCAAAUUAUCCCUAAAGUUUGAUGCAAGAUCGCAAUCGGGAUCGGGCACUCGAAAUUAACACUUCAACUUCAUUUUGUUGAGCCGCGAGAGAGAGAGAGAGAAGGCAUGAGAUCUCUGCCAUACCCAGUUCUCUUAGCCUUGAUCUCUCUGCAUCUGCAAAUCCUUUCUGGACUUGUUGAGGCAUCUGGUACCAAAAAUGAAGAUAAAGAUGUAAGUCAUAAAAGCUCUAUGGGGAUCAAGAUAAUUAUAGUAUGCCUCAGUGUGGUGGCUCUGUUAGCACUAUCUGUUUUUCUUUUCAAAUUAUGGCAAAAGAAGAGGAGAGAAGCGCAGCAUGCUCGUCUUUUGAAGCUGUUUGAAGACGAUGAUGAACUCGAGGUUGAACUUGGUAUGCAGGAUUGAACACUAUUUCAUACAUUUUGAUUUUUAUUGAAGGGUUCCUCUGCUCUAUUCUCGGUUUGAUUCGACUCUAGCUCAGGCGAUUUUGAAUGUUGAAAUCGGACAUUGAAUUCUUGCUUUGUCCCAAGUUGUUUCCUCUCGCGGUUAAGCAGCGGCUGGCCAUGGAGGACUUUAGGAUUUAAUUUUGUCAGUUGACACAGUAACUCCGAGGUCUCUUAGUUUGUCCUGUACAAAUAUAUUCAUAGUUGAUUUCCUUUUGUACCAUAAAAGUAUUAAGGCAUUAAUACUACUGAUCUGCAAGUAUUGCACUAUACAAUUUGUUACAAUCAUAUAUCUCUUGUUCUUUUUGUUGGAUGAAUACAGUUCAACAUAAGGAGGUUGAGACGUGUAUUGUUUUUCUGGCAGUCUUGCAAUAAAGUUGUGGAAAUUUCGUUAGUCUGUGUAUCUUUCAGCUUUGUAAAAUUGUAUAACUGAAUGGUGCUCUGUACCAAGGCCAAGGAGAAUCAUUUUAACUCCAUAUUCUUUUUUCAUUGAUAA